AUACGUAGGGAGCGAGCGUUGUCCGGAAUUACUGGGCGUAAAGGGCGCGUAGGCGGCGCUUCAAGUCGUCUGUCAAAUGUAAGGGCUUAACCCUUUUUCGCAGACGAAACUGGAGAGCUUGAGAAGCAGAGAGGCAAACAGAAUUCCUGGUGUAGCGGUGAAAUGCGUAGAUAUCAGGAAGAAUACCAGUGGCGAAGGCGGUUUGCUGGCUGCAUACUGACGCUGAAGCGCGAAAGCCAGGGGAGCGAACGGGAUUAGAUACCCCGGUAGUCCUGGCAGUAAACGAUGUAUGCUGGGUGUGAGACUAGCGAUAGUUUCGUGCCGAAGUUAACGCGAUAAGCAUACCGCCUGGGGAGUACGGUCGCAAGAUUGAAACUCAAAGGAAUUGACGGGG
This 394-nucleotide ribosomal RNA is filed under the name uncultured bacterium. RNAcentral's name for it is "partial 16S ribosomal RNA". It matches the Rfam family "Bacterial small subunit ribosomal RNA", at positions 523 to 918 of the family's 1533-position model. The record is from RNAcentral.